RNAcentral lists this ribosomal RNA (253 nucleotides) under uncultured bacterium. RNAcentral's name for it is "partial 16S ribosomal RNA". It matches the Rfam family "Bacterial small subunit ribosomal RNA", at positions 524 to 776 of the family's 1533-position model. The record is from RNAcentral.
UACAUAGGGUGCAAGCGUUAAUCGGAAUUACUGGGCGUAAAGCGUGCGCAGGCGGUUUUGUAAGUCUGACGUGAAAUCCCCGGGCUCAACCUGGGAAUUGCGUUGGAGACUGCAAGGCUAGAAUCUGGCAGAGGGGGGUAGAAUUCCACGUGUAGCAGUGAAAUGCGUAGAGAUGUGGAGGAACACCGAUGGCGAAGGCAGCCCCCUGGGUCAAGAUUGACGCUCAUGCACGAAAGCGUGGGGAGCAAACAGG